Molecule: long non-coding RNA, 1324 nt
Organism: Eupeodes corollae
Lineage: Eukaryota; Metazoa; Arthropoda; Insecta; Diptera; Syrphidae
Exons: 2
Source: RefSeq, a predicted model, not a curated record
UUGUAUUUAAUUUGCAGCCCAUCAGUAUGCCUCCGCUAGCCCUUCCUUUUCUAUUAAUUUUAAUUGCUGGUUGCCACUUAGUUGUAUGGUUCGGGAAAUAUGGUUCAAAUUUAAUGUUAUGUUCUUCAGUUACAUGAGUUUCAAUUAAUAUAAAAAUUUCAAAUUCAUUAAUAAAGUUUAAAAAAUCUAAAGUUUGAAUCUUAUUAUUUAAACCUGCUAUAUUAUAACUUAAUAUUCUAACGUUAACGUUAACUAUAUUUGAAUUCUGGCAGACGGCAUCUACCUAGUUCAUUAUAUUAUUUUUUAAGUUGGAAUGUGCUGAAGUGUUAACCCCUGAGUCCCAACUGCUGAUUUGCAUUGUGUUUCCAGCCGAAGAUGUGCUUUGCCCAACUGACGUUUCUUGAUGAAUGACGUUUAGUCUGACAUCUCUUCGUGAAUUUUGUUGAAUUUGUAAACAGAUUUGAUGAAAAAAGUUUUUUUCCAGUGAAACUUUCAUCCGAGGUUGAGUGGUCUGAAUAUGUUUUCUCAACUGUAAGAGCUUGCUACGCUUCUGUCGGAUGGCUGGUGGGUAAUCCCGACUUACGGAUGCUCCGGUUCCUUUCAGCCUUUUUGCAUUCCUCAGAACCUUAAAUGCAUUGUUUUUGUUUUUAAAUUCUGCCAAAGUUGUAACUGUGCCAUUCGCUGAGCUUAUCUCCCGUAUAUCUUGGAUAGUAAUUAUAUCCUGCGACUCCGAUAAAGUUUUGCAGAUGUUUUCGGUUUCUAUGAGUGGAUCGUUUGAGCUUUUUUUCAGUCGAAAAACUAAGUUGGCCGCAUUUGCUGAGGUUUUAAUCUGGUUAAUUUCGUUUUGCAGGGAAAUGCACUUUGUGUUUAAAGAAAUCAGUGACUCCUUCAGUUUCUCAUUUUCAGUUUUAACCUCAAUGAUUUCACUGCGAAGUCCAACAAUGUCAUCCUUCGUAGCAACGUCUUUGAGUUUUAAGUCGAACAUUUGGCGUAAUUCCUGGAUGGACAUGGAUCCGACUAAUUGAGACAUGUUUUUUUCUUUUUUUGAGUUAAACGUUGCUAAUUCGGGGGAGGUCUCACCAACUUUGCGCUUAUUGCUCAUCAAUAAAUUUUAAUGUAUAUAUAUUAAGUUUACUUAAAAUGGCUACUAUUAUUCUUGUUAAUGACUGUGUGAACUUUAAAAUUGAUUCAAAUAGUGAUACUAGUUUAAAAUUGGAAAAUCUGUGAAUCACACUUGCCUUUCGGUUUCCGGUUUGGUCACUUUAAGUUGAAAAAUAAUUUUAUAACUUUUUAUUAGUUAAAGAAAAUAAAAAAUUUGUACAGA